Molecule: ribosomal RNA, 459 nt
Filed under: uncultured bacterium
Lineage: Bacteria
Description: partial 16S ribosomal RNA
Rfam family: Bacterial small subunit ribosomal RNA
Source: RNAcentral
CCUCCGGGUGGCUGCAGUGAGGAAUAUUGGUCAAUGGGCGGGAGCCUGAACCAGCCAAGCCGCGUGAGGGAAGAAGGUACAGCGUAUCGUAAACCUCUUUUGUCAGGGAACAAAGGCGGGGACUAGUCCCCGGAUGAGGGUACCUGAAGAAAAAGCAUCGGCUAACUCCGUGCCAGCAGCCGCGGUAAUACGGAGGAUGCGAGCGUUAUCCGGAUUUAUUGGGUUUAAAGGGUGCGCAGGCGGCCCGUUAAGUCAGCGGUCAAAGCCCGGGGCUCAACCCCGUAGAGCCUUUGAAACUGGGGGGCUGGAGUUGGAGAGAAGCACGCGGAAUGCGUGGUGUAGCGGUGAAAUGCUUAGAUAUCGCGCAGAACCCCGAUUGCGAAGGCAGCGUACCGGCUCCAAACUGACGCUGAGGCACGAAAGCGUGGGUAUCGAACAGGAUUAGAUACCCUUGUAGUC